RNAcentral lists this ribosomal RNA (497 nucleotides) under uncultured bacterium. RNAcentral describes it as "partial 16S ribosomal RNA". It matches the Rfam family "Bacterial small subunit ribosomal RNA", at positions 28 to 507 of the family's 1533-position model. The record is from RNAcentral.
GAUGAACGCUGGCGGCGUACCUAAUACAUGCAAGUCGAGCGAACGGACGAGAAGCUUGCUUCUCUGAUGUUAGCGGCGGACGGGUGAGUAACACGUGGAUAACCUACCUAUAAGACUGGGAUAACUUCGGGAAACCGGAGCUAAUACCGGAUAAUAUUUUGAACCGCAUGGUUCAAAAGUGAAAGACGGUCUUGCUGUCACUUAUAGAUGGAUCCGCGCUGCAUUAGCUAGUUGGUAAGGUAACGGCUUACCAAGGCAACGAUGCAUAGCCGACCUGAGAGGAUGAUCAGCCACACUGGAACUGAGACACGGUCCAGACUCCUACGGGAGGCAGCAGUAGGGAAUCUUCCGCAAUGGGCGAAAGCCUGACGGAGCAACGCCGCGUGAGUGAUGAAGGUCUUCGGAUCGUAAAACUCUGUUAUUAGGGAAGAACAUAUGUGUAAGUAACUGUGCACAUCUUGACGGUACCUAAUCAGAAAGCCACGGCUAACUACGUG